Molecule: small nucleolar RNA, 207 nt
Filed under: Parasteatoda tepidariorum (common house spider)
Lineage: Eukaryota; Metazoa; Arthropoda; Arachnida; Araneae; Theridiidae
Description: small nucleolar RNA U3
Rfam family: Small nucleolar RNA U3
About the family: Small nucleolar RNAs (snoRNAs) are involved in the processing and modification of rRNA in the nucleolus. There are two main classes of snoRNAs: the box C/D class, and the box H/ACA class. U3 snoRNA is a member of the box C/D class.
Source: RNAcentral
AAGAUCAUACUUCAUAGGAUCAUUUCUAUAGUAUGAUUAGCGAGUUCACUCACCGAACUUCGCAGAAAACCCAACCACGAUGAUGUGGAAUGGGGCUUUCUCCUGAGCGUGAAGCGGUUGCUUCGAUCCUAAAUGGUUUGAACAACAUUGAUGAUCGCACUGUUUGGCAUUGCGCCAAAUAGAUGGAAAAAGCUCGUUCUGAGUGGU